GGCCAGCCUACUCAGACUCCAGUACACAUUUUGUUGGGUUUUGUUUGUUUGUUUAUUUGGUUUGGUUUCCCCACUGCUCUUCCAGGAUUCUCUCCUUUUUGGGGUCCAUGUUCCAUCCUGAGCAGCUUUUGGAGUACUUUCUCUUAUCACCUCAAAGACCUGACUUCUCCCUUCCCUGAAGUAGUUCUGUCACCACUACUCAUAAGUUCCCCUACCCUUGAAGUACCUUUGAAGUACUACAAACAGCAUGGGAUAAGGAAUAUUACUUGUCUGGCGGACAAGAAUGAAGAUACUCCAUCAAAGACCUACAACUUCUUCACAGCAGAUGGAGAGAGAUGGAGUGGUGAAGAAGAUGCAGCAAGCAUUUGGUAUCCUUAAUACAAGACAUGGAGUAAGGUAGAGAACAUACAGGAGGCUGGACAAUGGACUUCCCAGUGAAGACCUCAUAGUUCAGCAACUACUGAUAGAGUCACUGUGAUGCUUCUGAGUCACCAGAGCACAGAACACUGAGGACCUCCACAACCUUCCUGUCCCCAACCAGAACCCCUUCAGGGGACAACACAGACCCUUACAAGCUCAAGUGAGAGUUUAUUUACUCUCAUGGUAAUCCACUAUUCGUCUAAUAAAUACAAAUACAG
Molecule: long non-coding RNA, 638 nt
Filed under: Mus spicilegus (steppe mouse)
Lineage: Eukaryota; Metazoa; Chordata; Mammalia; Rodentia; Muridae
Description: lncRNA (ENSMSIG00000006116.1)
Source: RNAcentral